GCGUGAGAAUCUGCCCUCAGGAGGGGGAUAACGGCUGGAAACGGCCGCUAAUACCCCAUAUGCCGAGAGGUGAAAUGAAAUUCGCCUGAGGAUGAGCUCGCGUCUGAUUAGCUAGUUGGUGGGGUAAGAGCCUACCAAGGCGUCGAUCAGUAGCUGGUCUGAGAGGAUGAUCAGCCACACUGGGACUGAGACACGGCCCAGACUCCUACGGGAGGCAGCAGUGGGGAAUUUUCCGCAAUGGGCGAAAGCCUGACGGAGCAACGCCGCGUGAGGGAUGAAGGCCUCUGGGCUGUAAACCUCUUUUAUCAAGGAAGAAGAUCUGACGGUACUUGAUGAAUAAGCCACGGCUAAUUCCGUGCCAGCAGCCGCGGUAAUACGGGAGUGGCAAGCGUUAUCCGGAAUUAUUGGGCGUAAAGCGUCCGCAGGCAGCCUCGUAAGUCUGUCGUUAAAGCGUGGAGCUUAACUCCAUCUCAGCGAUGGAAACUGUGAGGCUAGAGUGUGUAGGG
RNAcentral lists this ribosomal RNA (506 nucleotides) under uncultured cyanobacterium. Its description in RNAcentral is "bacterial SSU rRNA". It matches the Rfam family "Bacterial small subunit ribosomal RNA", at positions 115 to 655 of the family's 1533-position model. Lineage: Bacteria; Bacillati; Cyanobacteriota. The record is from RNAcentral.